GCUUUUAGGUUUUGAAAGGUUAUUUAUGCUCGGUGUUUUUUAACAGCCGCGGUAAUUUGACCGUGCAAAGGUAGCAUAAUCAUUUGCCUUAUAACUGAGGGCUGGAAUGAACGAAUAAACAAAAGCUUUUCUUUAUUGGAGAAAGUAGUUGAAUUUUCUGUCUUAGUGAAGAAGCUAGGGUAGAAAAGGGGACAAGAAGACCCUUUCGAGCUUUACUAAUUUUCUUUCUGUUUGUAAUUAGUUUGGUUGGGGCGACCCAGGAAUAUCUUCCUUUGUUAUUUUGAUCCACAGUUUGUGAUUAAACGAAUAAGUUACCGAAGGGAUAACAGCGUAAUUUUCUUUGAGAGAUCU
This 351-nucleotide ribosomal RNA is filed under the name Ototyphlonemertes duplex. Its description in RNAcentral is "partial 16S ribosomal RNA". It matches the Rfam family "Archaeal large subunit ribosomal RNA", at positions 1922 to 2571 of the family's 2987-position model. Lineage: Eukaryota; Metazoa; Nemertea; Enopla; Monostilifera; Ototyphlonemertidae. The record is from RNAcentral.